This is a long non-coding RNA of Zingiber officinale, 223 nucleotides long. RefSeq lists it as uncharacterized. The transcript has 3 exons. NCBI's taxonomy places the organism in Eukaryota, Viridiplantae, Streptophyta, Magnoliopsida, Zingiberales, Zingiberaceae. The record is from RefSeq and is a predicted model, not a curated record.
AGUGAUCCCUGGUAGCAACCUCGGUCACAAAUUUCCAGCUACUGUGCUUCAUCCGGAGAUAAGAAGGCUCUGUAGGAGCUCUAUUGGUCGUUCUUGGCAGCAGGUAUCACUAGAGGAUCUGUGCCGACAAUUUUACCUUCGGGCAGGGAAUCAUCAGAGGACUUUGAUCAAGGCGGUUGUCGUGACGAGAUUGACGUCGGAUUCAGCCUACAUUUACAGGCGG